GUCUCAGUGGUCGAGUUGGUUAAGAUACUCGCCCCCGGAAAAUUGGGAGGUCCCAGGUUCGAAUCUUGGCUGAGGUA
RNAcentral lists this transfer RNA (77 nucleotides) under Atta cephalotes. It matches the Rfam family "tRNA". Rfam says of the family: Transfer RNA (tRNA) molecules are approximately 80 nucleotides in length. The record is from Rfam by way of RNAcentral. Lineage: Eukaryota; Metazoa; Arthropoda; Insecta; Hymenoptera; Formicidae.